GAAUACAAUAUAUUUAUAUAACUAUCUAUAAUAUAUGUAUAAAGUAUCUGCAUUGAGUUGCAUCUGAAAUAGUAAAAUACUGACAUAUUAAAUCUUUUCCAGGUCAGUUAUCUGUAUUGAAUGGCUGGAGAAUACAAACCUAGUACAAAUGUAUAUAGAGGAAUGAAGAGGCCUCACAUAUAACUGACUGUCAUUGGGUAAUUUUAUUAUUAACAAAAAAUUGAGAAUGGAAAUGGGGAAUGUGUCAAAGAGACAACAACCUGACCAAAGAGUAGAAAACAGCCAAAGACCACCAAUGGAUCUACAACACACUGAGAAAAUCCUACACACAGAGGCAUGCUUCAGCUACCACCUAAACAAAAAUGUGUACUACUCCCCGGAAACAUGUGGUCAAGGUGAUAAUGAAUGUUAUACUAGACUCCAAAAUUAAAAUGAACUAAAAUUAAAAAUCUUAAAAAAAUAACAAAGGCUAGAGACUCCUGACUUGGGACAGGCGCUAAAAUGCGGUGGGGUCAAACAUGUUUUGCAAGAUCUCAACCUAUCCUAAUACCUCUAUAGCUAGCCAUUGUAGAAAAACAAAAACAAUAUGCACAGUAAAUCUCAGUUUUAAAGAAGUCAUAGUCCUACAUUGUAUGUCAGAAUAGGCAAAAUGAUAGGAAAUAAAACAAAAUAAGCAAAAUGACAACUAUACAUAAAUUUACAAAGGACUACUAGCAGUUACUGACAUGUUCCUCAGACAUAUGUGAACUUAACUAAAUGUCAUACACUAUAUGUUUUAUCACUUUUUGACUUUUUUUUAGCACAUGAAAUAUAUAUUGUACCAUGUUUUUUUAAGAUUUUUUUUGUUGGUACCUUAUAAAUACUGGUAGGACAUGAAUUACCAAUAAGAAAAAUAAUUUCUUUGGUUUUAUUCCAAUACAGAUACAUGAAGUCAGACUAAAUGUUUUUGAACCUUGCAUAUCUACUUGAACUUGUUUCAUAGUUUAGCAAAAUUACUUUAUUCAGUAAAAUUUCUAAACAAAUGUAUAGUUUUGUAGACAUUGGCCUCAUAAAAAUUAGAUAUAGGAAGAUGUGGUGUGAGUGCCAAUGAGACAACUCUCCAUCCAAAUAACAAUUUAUAAAAGUAAACCAUUAUAGGUCAAUGUACGGCCUUCAACACAGAGCCUUGGCUCACACCGAACAAAAAGCUAUAAAGGACCCCAAAAUUACUAGUGUAAAACCAUUCAAACAGGAAAACCAACGGUCAAAUUGCAUUUUAUUAAACUUGGUCAAAUUAUAUUUCAGCAAAAGGCUUUGCCAUCCAAUACAUUUCAUCUUGGAUGAAAAAGAACAACAGUCUGAUGAUGGUGACAGGUCAAAUUUACCUAACAGGUAACACAUACAUACAUAACAUAUUUGUUUUAAGGUUUUAAGGCUAUUUAAACAUACAUGCAUGCAUAUUGGGACCAGGGAAGACACUUAGAGAUCCAAAGUUACAAUGUGUGGUUGGGUUAAUUGCAAUGAAAAUGUUAGUGAAAUUCUCAAUUGGCUUCUAUCAGUUGUAACCCUAUUAUGAAUGUGUUUUCCUGUGUACAAUGUGUGAUUAAAAGUAAGAGCCUAAGGCUUUAUAAUGCAUACUCCUUUUUAUUGCUUAAGUUUAAAUUUAACAAUAUUAACUAUAGUUGAAAAAUCUGUAUUUUUCAUCUGUUUUAUUUAUCCUUCCAUGGAUGGGCACUUGUUGUUUAACCUACAUGUACAUUAUUGUUAUGUUAGUUUAGUAAAUUAUUAAUAAUGGAUUAAACCCAGAUUUUGGUUAAAUAUAGCCUCCUUUUGUUGUGCUUGAUAUCCUGAUUUUUUUUAUAUAUUAAGAUAAGUAAGUUAACACUUAUAGACAUACUCCAACAAAUAUAAUAUUUUUUAACAACCAGUAUAUAUUUUAAAUGGAGAGCGUUGAAAGAGAGAGUCGAAAAAAAACAAUGCACAAAAACCAGAACAAAUUGAAACAAAUGCAUGACACAAGUGUGUUGAAAAACAAAAGGAAUGUUUCUCUGUUUAACGAGUUAUUGUAUGGACUACAAACACAAUACAAACCCUCUUAAAACCCAGGUUAUAUCAGGUGUUAAGAGUCAGCAUACACUGCUUGUAUAUGAUUUAUAGUUCAUAACAGUCUGUCAUUCUGUACCUCUGUCAAACCUUGUAAAUUAGCCAUACUUGGUAUAUAGAAUAAAGAUUAUUUGUACACAAUGAUUUUCAAUGUAAAGUUUCACACUAUAUAGGAAAAUAACUUUGUAUAAUUUUCAUAUUUCUGUUUCCUGUAAACUAGUAACGAUUACCAGUAUAGUUGUAUAGUUCUAAGCAUUUUGUCAAACAUAUAAACUUGUAAUAAUAUUCCCUGAACAUUUUGGUACAGGAUUGUGGGUAAAACUCUUAAAAUAUAAAUAUUUCUGUAACAAUUGUACAUGUAAUAACAAUUAACCACUUCAUGAUAUCCAUUACCAAAAAUGUUGUAUAGUCUGAUUAUAACCACAGAAUUUACUUUGCUUUUCAGAUACUAGUGAAGAAAUAAAGAAACAAGAGUAGACACCAUUUGACCAACUGUGCUUACAAUACUUGUGCAACAGUUGUGAUUGAUGUCCAUAUUACAUUGUAGUAUGAUAAUACUUUACAGCAUCAA
This 2653-nucleotide long non-coding RNA is filed under the name Mytilus galloprovincialis (Mediterranean mussel). Lineage: Eukaryota; Metazoa; Mollusca; Bivalvia; Mytilida; Mytilidae. The record is from RNAcentral.